GGGGCAAGUGGGGAGGAGGUUGAGAUAUUUGAGGAUUUUGGAAAAUGUAGGAGGGAAACAUUGCACUAGUACUAAAAAUUUGAGGCACAACCUUGGCGGGAUGUAGUGGGUCCCACCUAUCCUUUUGAUUUCAUAGUUUUUUGCACUAGGAGUCGCCAUGGAUGGAGCCGCCGUUUUGGGGGCAAGUGGGGAGGAGGUUGAGAUAUUUGAGGAUUUGGAAAAACGUAGGAGGGAAACAUUGUACUAGUACUAAAAAUAUGAGGCACAACCUUGGCGGGAUGUAGUGGGUCACACCUGUCCUUUUGAUUUCAUAGUUUUUUGCACUCAUGUUUGGUUUCAACAAACCUAUCUACAAUUUGCACUCAUGUUUGGUUUCAACAAACCUAUCUACAAUUUUAUCUAAAUUUGUACAGUUAUUAUUCAUGAAUGUAGGUUGGAGGAUGCAUGACUAUCUC
This 455-nucleotide long non-coding RNA is filed under the name Setaria viridis. RNAcentral's name for it is "long non-coding RNA (SVIR_LNC009325)". The record is from RNAcentral. Lineage: Eukaryota; Viridiplantae; Streptophyta; Magnoliopsida; Poales; Poaceae.